Molecule: long non-coding RNA, 493 nt
Filed under: Bos taurus (domestic cattle)
Lineage: Eukaryota; Metazoa; Chordata; Mammalia; Artiodactyla; Bovidae
Description: long non-coding RNA NONBTAT016479
Source: RNAcentral
AACCAAAUGUUAUUUAAUAUCUUAAAAAGUAACACAAUCCAAAAUGGAUAUUUCACACAACACUACAUAAACAACAUGAACACAAUAUUACCAUAUGGAGGGACUUUCAAAUAUAGACUUACAAAAAUCCCUGUGCUUUUUUUUUAAGUUAUUAUACUAAGCAUGACAAGUAAUCCUCAUUUACAAUAUGGUACACUGACACGAUAAAAAGCAUGUUACAAAUGUGCUGUUAUAAAUCAGUAACAUUAGGGAAGACAUUUCAUGAACUGUAAUUAUUUCAUAUGAAAUACUAUACAAUAUAAACAGAACAUCCAUCUUGGAUGACCUUUACAGCAACCAGAGACCAAGUCUCUUCUAGACAGUUGUAUCUAUGUCAACUACUCUAAGGACCUUAAUUUGUAGCUGUCAAUACUUACAUGAAGGUGACCCUAGGACAGCUCUAUUCCUAACCCAUCCUUGUGUGCACAGUACCACACACUGCUUUGCCCUUCUG